AACGAACGCUGGCGGCAUGCCUAACACAUGCAAGUCGAACGAGACCUUCGGGUCUAGUGGCGCACGGGUGCGUAACGCGUGGGAACCUGCCCUUAGGUUCGGAAUAACUCCCCGCAAGGGGUGCUACUACCGGAUAAUGUCUUCGGACCAAAGAUUUAUCGCCCUUGGAUGUGCCUGCGUUGGAUUAGCUAGUUGGUAGGGUAAAAGCCUACCAAGGCGACGAUCCAUAGCUGGUCUGAGAGGAUGAUCAGCCACACUGGGACUGAGACACGGCCCAGACUCCUACGGGAAGCAGCAGUGGGGAAUAUUGGAACAUGGGCGAAAGCCUGAUCCAGCAAUGCCGCGUGAGUGAUGAAGGCAUUAGGGUUGUAAAGCUCUUUUACCCGGGAUGAUAAUGACAGUACCGGGAGAAUAAGCUACGGCUAACUCCGUG
This 433-nucleotide ribosomal RNA is filed under the name uncultured bacterium. Its description in RNAcentral is "partial 16S ribosomal RNA". It matches the Rfam family "Bacterial small subunit ribosomal RNA", at positions 29 to 507 of the family's 1533-position model. The record is from RNAcentral.